UGGUACUCUCGGGCAAUCUUCCAGGC
This 26-nucleotide non-coding RNA is filed under the name Mus musculus (house mouse). Lineage: Eukaryota; Metazoa; Chordata; Mammalia; Rodentia; Muridae. The record is from RNAcentral.